Molecule: ribosomal RNA, 253 nt
Filed under: uncultured bacterium
Lineage: Bacteria
Description: partial 16S ribosomal RNA
Rfam family: Bacterial small subunit ribosomal RNA
Source: RNAcentral
UACGUAGGGUGCAAGCGUUGUCCGGAAUUACUGGGCGUAAAGCGUGCGCAGGCGGUUGUGCAAGACAGAUGUGAAAUCCCCGGGCUUAACCUGGGAAUUGCAUUUGUGACUGCGCGGCUAGAGUGUAUCAGAGGGGGGUAGAAUUCCACGUGUAGCAGUGAAAUGCGUAGAUAUGUGGAGGAAUACCGAUGGCGAAGGCAGCCCCCUGGGAUAACACUGACGCUCAUGCACGAAAGCGUGGGGAGCAAACAGG